This 344-nucleotide unclassified non-coding RNA is filed under the name rhizosphere metagenome. Its description in RNAcentral is "partial ribosomal RNA internal transcribed spacer region". The record is from RNAcentral.
GUAGGUGAACCUGCGGAAGGAUCAUUAGAUUGAAUUAUCAUUGUUGCUCGAGUUCUUGUUUAGAUCUUUUACAAUAAUGUGUAUCUUUAUUGAAGAUGUGCGCUUAAUUGCGCUGCUUCUUUAGAGUGUCGCAGUAGAAGUAGUCUUGCUUGAAUCUCAGUCAACGCUACACACAUUGGAGUUUUUUACUUUAAUUUAAUUCUUUCUGCUUUGAAUCGAAAGGUUCAAGGCAAAAAACAAACACAAACAAUUUUAUUUUAUUAUAAUUUUUUAAACUAAACCAAAAUUCCUAACGGAAAUUUUAAAAUAAUUUAAAACUUUCAACAACGGAUCUCUUGGUUCUC